AAUUUUGGACAAUGGGGGCAACCCUGACCCAGCCCUCCCCCGUGUGCGAUGAAGGCCUUCGGUUUGUAAAGCACUUUUGGCAGGGAAGAAAAGCCUCUGGCUAAUACCUGGAGCUGCUCACGUCACCUGCAGACUAAGCCCCGUCUAACUACGUGCCAGCAGCCGCGGUAAUACGUAGGGUGCAAGCGUUAAUCGGAAUUACUGGGCGUAAAGCGUGCGCAGGCGGUUCGGCAAGAAGGAUGUGAAAUCCCAGGGCUUAACCUUGGAACUGCAUUCUUAACUGCCGGGCUAGAGUAUGUCAGAGGGGGGUAGAAUUCCGCGUGUAGCAGUGAAAUGCGUAGAGAUGCGGAGGAAUACCGAUGGCGAAGGCAGCCCCCUGGGAUAAUACUGACGCUCAUGCACGAAAGCGUGGGGAGCAAAC
RNAcentral lists this ribosomal RNA (421 nucleotides) under uncultured bacterium. RNAcentral describes it as "partial 16S ribosomal RNA". It matches the Rfam family "Bacterial small subunit ribosomal RNA", at positions 360 to 773 of the family's 1533-position model. The record is from RNAcentral.